RNAcentral lists this long non-coding RNA (2412 nucleotides) under Brassica rapa (field mustard). RNAcentral describes it as "long non-coding RNA (BRAP_LNC001631)". Lineage: Eukaryota; Viridiplantae; Streptophyta; Magnoliopsida; Brassicales; Brassicaceae. The record is from RNAcentral.
AGGUAACCUUUAAAUGGGCCUAACAUAUUGGGCUGGCCUCUAAGAGUAAAUGAGAUUUCUGAUGGAAGCAAACAGAGUUGUACUCUUGGUCGGAUCACCGAGCUCAGCACCGUGAACAACGCCGUCAGUAAAACGCUCCACCACAUCAACUCCCUUCUCCUUCAUCAGCUUCGCCACAUCUCUCUGCCUAUCUAUCAUCGGAUCUCCUCCUCCUCCACUCACCACCACCUUCCACCCCAACCGUCCGAUCAUCUCCAUAUUCACCGGUCCAUCUCCCACCGUCAGAUUAGAAUACUCAUGAUCCCGGUUAGCUCCGACAGGGAGACAAAGCUCCCAGCAAACGUCUCCGGCACUAGGCGGAAAAACAUGAUCGUUCUCAAGUCUGAUCUCGGACUCGCACCGCUCUUCGCCGCCGAAGAACGGAUGGUGCAAGAUCAUCCCACGGAUACAUAACGGACUCAGGUCCGCCAAGGCGGAUCUGAGCCCGACGUUGUAGGCCAAGUUACCACCGGCGCUUGUCCCCAUGAGGAACACGUUGGAGAGAUCAGCGUGAGACUUGAUCCACUCGUCGUCUGAGGUUCUAAUAAACCUCAGAGCGUCCACUCCGUCGUCGUAAGCCGCCGGGAGUCUGUGCUCCGGAGCCAGCCGGUAGGAAGGCGACGCGACGACCGCGUUGAGCUCACGCGCCAUACGGUUGCAGAAGUCGUGGAAGGGUUUGAAGUCGACGCUGCAGAUGACGAAGCCUCCGCCGUGGUAGUAGACGACGAGAGGGAGUUUUUUAGACGAAACGCCGUCGUUUAGUGCGGUAACGGGGACGUAGAGACGCAUCCACGUGGAGUUUGAGUGGCUCACGGUGAUGUCUUUGGAUACGACGGUGUUUACCGGGGAGGGGUCAGGUGUGGCUGAGGCGUACGGGAAUCUGGUGGGGUCGCGAGUGAUGGAGCCAUCUGGGUUCUUUACGAUGCCUAUGUGAGCGUAAGGAUCAGAGACUGGAGAUGGUUCGGACAUUAUUCGAAGUCUUGUGUUGUGUAUGAAACUGAAUCCUUCAGUCUUCUCCGAUUUUAUAGGCAAUAAAAAAAGAAAAUAGCAAUUAAAUAUUUCAAUUUAUUUUAUCUUGAAAAGCUUGGAUAAUAGUCUAAUACUUUGUUUAGUGGGUCCGAAAUUGACUUAAUUGAAUUCAUUGUUUUCGUAAUUAUUUGUAAAAAUAGGAUUUGGGCUGACAAAAAAAAACUUUUUUGAAGGUAAUUACUGUCAAUAAAAUGUUUUUUUGAAACUUAAUAAAAUGUUUUCGUUUUGUUAAAAUGCAAACUAAUAACAGAACAGAUCAUAGUUUUAAGUUAACACUGAAAUAAUUCUUAUAUUUGAUGUGAAUGAUUUAACACAGUUUACUUGAUGAAACAUUGUAAUGCAAAACUCAAGUGGAAAAAGAAUGAGACACUAAAGGAAACAAUGACAUUGCAACCAGGGAAAACGUAGUGCUCUUUGCUUUCUCUUUUUGUGCACUAAAGAGAACAAGAGACUUUUUCUGGUACACAAGUAGUUGGCACGUCUCUUUCAUUGGUUGAGAAGUUCGCAGAAAAUUCAAUGCUCAAAACUAAUUUGAAGAUUGGCAAAUCAAAUAUCAGGCAAACAAAAAGAUAGCAAAGCGUUAAUGACUAUAAUUAAAAUCUAUUUCGGAAGAUUGGCAACUAACUCAUUUGAUGUCGUCUUUGCUAAAAAUCUACACCGAUAAUGAUGGGAGAGAUCCAACAAUUAUGCGUAUAAUUUGCCUUCUCUAAAAGUUGAAACCAGAUCUCGUUUAAAUCACUAAACAGGCCUUUCACAACAUUGAAGUAUAGAAAUGUCCAUGCCAUGUUCUACAAGAGAACGAGACAUGUCUAACAAAAGAGAGAGCCAGCCUCUUGGGCUUCUUAUUUAUAAUUUUUCCACGAAUCAAUACAUAAAGGUAAUCCUUAAAUGGGCCUACAAUAUUGGGCUGGGGGAUGGGCCUCUAGUAUAAGCCUCCUUAUUUUAUGGAUGUCUUUUAAAAACGAUACGGUGUAGAUGAAAUGAAACUUUUGAUGGAAGCAAACAGAGUUUGGCUCUUGGACGGAUCACCGAGCUCAGCACCGUGAACAUCGCCGUCGGUAAAACGCUCCACCACAUUAAUUCCCUUCUCCUUCAUCAACUUUGCCACAUUUUUCUGCCUGUCUAUCAUCGGAUCUCCUCCUCCUCCACACACCAUCACCUUCCACUUCAACGCUCCGAGUACCUCCAGUCCAUCUCCCAUUGUCGGAUUCGAAUACGCAUGGUCCCUAUUCUCUCCGACAGGGAGACAAAGCUCCCAACAAAGGUCUCCGACAGCAGGCGGAAAAACCUGAUCGUUCUCAUGUCUGAUCUCGGACUCGCACCGCUCUUCCCCGCCGAAGAACG